AGUGAACGCUGGCGGUAGGCCUAACACAUGCAAGUCGAACGGCAGCACAGUAAGAGCUUGCUCUUACGGGUGGCGAGUGGCGGACGGGUGAGGAAUACAUCGGAAUCUACUUUUUCGUGGGGGAUAACGUAGGGAAACUUACGCUACUACCGCAUACGACCUACGGGUGAAAGCAGGGGAUCUUCGGACCUUGCGCGACUGAAUGAGCCGAUGUCGGAUUAGCUAGUUGGCGGGGUAAAGGCCCACCAAGGCGACGAUCCGUGGCUGGUCUGAGAGGAUGAUCGGCCACACUGGAACUGAGACACGGUCCAGACUCCUACGGGAGGCAGCAGUGGGGAAUAUUGGACAAUGGGCGCAAGCCUGAUCCAGCCAUACCGCGUGGGUGAAGAAGGCCUUCGGGUUGUAAAGCCCUUUUGUUGGGAAAGAAAAGCAGCAGGUUAAUACCCCGCUGUUCUGACGGUACCCAAAGAAUAAGCACCGGCUAACUUCGUG
Molecule: ribosomal RNA, 492 nt
Filed under: uncultured bacterium
Lineage: Bacteria
Description: partial 16S ribosomal RNA
Rfam family: Bacterial small subunit ribosomal RNA
Source: RNAcentral